UACGUAGGGUGCGAGCGUUAAUCGGAAUUACUGGGCGUAAAGUGUGCGCAGGCGGCAGAGCAAGUCGAGUGUGAAAGCCCCGGGCUUAACUUGGGAAUUGCGCUCGAAACUACUUUGCUGGAGUGUGGCAGAGGAAGGUGGAAUUCCACGUGUAGCGGUGAAAUGCGCAGAUAUCGGGAGGAACACCGGUGGCGAAGGCGGGUCUCUGGGCAUCUCCUGACGCUGAGGCGCGAAAGCGUGGGGAGCAAACGGG
RNAcentral lists this ribosomal RNA (253 nucleotides) under uncultured bacterium. RNAcentral's name for it is "partial 16S ribosomal RNA". It matches the Rfam family "Bacterial small subunit ribosomal RNA", at positions 524 to 776 of the family's 1533-position model. The record is from RNAcentral.